Pecten maximus is the source of this 751-nucleotide long non-coding RNA. RefSeq lists it as uncharacterized. The record is from RefSeq and is a predicted model, not a curated record. Lineage: Eukaryota; Metazoa; Mollusca; Bivalvia; Pectinida; Pectinidae. The transcript has 3 exons.
AGUUUAGCGGGAGAUUUGUAUUACAAGUGGCGGCCAUUUUGUUUGUUUACGGAAACGUGAUGAAAGCUUAGACCUAGAACAAAAUCACGUUAUAUAUACAGUACGGUAUAUAUUGGCGACAUUUAAUUUCCCCACUCACGGAAUACAAUCGACAAACUGGGAACAGAAUAUCAAAUUUGUCUAGCUUUUGGCGACUUAUGAUACCCCUUUCACCGGCAAACACUGAAUUAUCGGACAACAUGAAAUCAGGGACUAAAUUCACCAGCAUUCAUGAUCCUCGGACCACCCGCCCCCUACGCACAGCCGAUUUAUAAAUGUUGCAUCUUUCAAUCAGUGUCAAUCCCAAGAAGAACCCUGAUCAGCUCCUGGAAAAUCAGUGUUCUUGCAGUAUUGUCAGUCAAAUCUCAAGGAAAGGAUCCCAGAAGAGGAACAUUUACAUUAUUUCAGACUUUUUUCUUUCCUGUGUAACAAUGCCUCAAACAGCUAACACAUUUUAUAUAGUAUACAAUACAAUGUGUAUUAAUAACAGUCCAGUUAGAGUGCUGUGCUAUGCAGUAAAAAUACUUAAUUCUUGAUGACAUGUUGGUUUUAUGUUUACAUUAAACGGUAGUUAUAAUAUAUACUAAAGAAACAUAGUGGAUAAUGCCUUGUACAGGAGCAGGAGUAUGACAGUGUAAUAGUACAUGACUGCUGCGUUCAUCCAUGGAAGGAGUCUGUUAUUCGAAAUAAAGCUUUCCAUGAGGACGAAAAA